RNAcentral lists this long non-coding RNA (1158 nucleotides) under Homo sapiens (human). RNAcentral's name for it is "non-protein coding lnc-CTDSP2-2:1". The record is from RNAcentral. Lineage: Eukaryota; Metazoa; Chordata; Mammalia; Primates; Hominidae.
UAUGCCCCAAAUUACUAUUUUCUUCCCAAAUAAAGCAUUCUAAUUUCAAAGAUUCAUCUCUAUAUUCUGACUUAACAGCUUUUAACACUUAAUGCUGUUUUUUAGUUGACAAAUAAAAAUUAUAUUUAUAGUAUAAAACAUGUUUUGAAAUAUAUAUACAUUGUGGAAUGGUUAAAUAAAGCUAACAUGUACCCUUCGGCUUUUUAAAAACUAACGUCCAAUUCAUCCAAUUCCGUGAGAGUAAAGCCUUUGCUUAGCUUUCCAGUCCUGUUAAACGGGGGGGAAACAACAAAAGGGUCCUCAGGGCCCUGCCCAACAAUACGCCACAUUCUGUCUAGUAAAGCCACACAGCCAGAAAACGCCAGGUGACUGGCAGGCAGAUACUUCCGGAAGAAGUCGGCCCUCCGAACCCGGAAGUGAAGCGAUAAGACGCACGGUGUUCUGGGAGGAGUUACGCAGGCAGGGUUGUGGUUGCUGGCUGUUACCAGGACAACCGGAGGCGAUUGACCGUUAUCUGCGGUUUGGAGCCGUUAGCGGGAGAGGCAGAGAUAUUCAGAGGUCUUUUAGGAUGCGCUAAAGGGUCGUGAGGGCUCUCUUAAAAUUUUCUUCACAAGCGGUUAUCCAGUCGUGCCCCGCGGCCCUGCUGCUGGCCCCGGGGAUCUGAGUCGUACCCUCUUGUUUUUCUCUGAGUCAGUCUUAAGGUGAAAUGAAGUGUGGCCCAGUGGCUCCUCACUGUCGCUUCUCUAGUUUUCUGCCUCCUUUUAGAAAAUGUGCUAAAGAACAUACAGACACAGAGCAGACAGGCCACCUUUGCAACCACAUGGAGGUUUGUCUGAUAUUGAAGCUAAAGAAGCUAAGCUGGAAGACAGAGAGACCAAGUCCUGAUGACAUUGUUUGAACCCAGAGAUCCAGACAUGCCUGAAAACUAGUUUUACCACUGGACUUAUCCGUUGAAUGAGCCAAUAAACUCUCUUUUAUACUUAACCUUGGGUUUUACCUGGAUUUUUGUCAUUGACAGCUCAAAAUAUUCUAAUAUAGAAGUAUACAUCAUUAAAUCAACAUUUCUUUUUUUCUCUGUCUUAUUUUAAAUGUAACUCUAUAAGGUACUCUAAAAGUAUUCUACAGUCUCACUAAGUUAAUCUGCAAAUUUGGUAAAAU